Molecule: ribosomal RNA, 356 nt
Filed under: uncultured soil bacterium
Lineage: Bacteria
Description: bacterial SSU rRNA
Rfam family: Bacterial small subunit ribosomal RNA
Source: RNAcentral
AGAGUGAACGCUGGCGGUAGGCCUAACACAUGCAAGUCGAACGGCAGCACAGUGGUAGCAAUACCAUGGGUGGCGAGUGGCGGACGGGUGAGGAAUACAUCGGAAUCUACCUUUUCGUGGGGGAUAACGUAGGGAAACUUACGCUAAUACCGCAUACGCCCUUCGGGGGAAAGCCGGGGAUCGCAAGACCUGGCGCGGAUAGAUGAGCCGAUGUCGGAUUAGCUAGUUGGUGAGGUAAUGGCUCACCAAGGCGACGAUCCGUAGCUGGUCUGAGAGGAUGAUCAGCCACACUGGAACUGAGGCACGGUCCAGACUCCUACGGGGAGCAGCAGGUGGGGAAUAUUGGACAAGUGGGG